GUUUUAUGAUAAUGCAAAGCAUCUUUGUUUAAAUACAUCUAAGAAAAAUACAAUGAUACAUUUCUUACCCUCUUUACAGUGUUCCACAUAGUCUGGGCAACAUUUGCCAUAUCUUUCGCAGUCUGCAUCACAGUCACACUCUCUUCCUCUUUCAAAGGCUUCAAAGCAACGUCCUCUGCAGGAGACUGCUGCUUAAGGCAGAACAAGAAAAAUGCCAUUUCUUCACUUGGUGUUGCAGAAACUGUGGGCCUGGUGCAACCCCUCCUGAAAGCAUGCAGAUCAGAGGUUUGCUCUGAGUCAGUCUGAGAACCAGCAUCAGUGCACAUUCAGUACCUUGAGAAGACACUUCUUGAAUCAAGGACAGUGACAGGAUCACCAGGGAAACGCAAAGUAUGUUCCAUAUGAUCAUUACUUUCAGCAUAUGGACUAAUUCUACUGAAUAAUAGCUGGAAGAAAAUGGGAUUCAACUAUAGGAAGAAAAAGAUUUCAUGCAAGGUUUGGUUAAUAUGAAGAAUUGCACCUGAUAAGAAGAAUAAGGAAAAUUAACGUGAGAAAGACAGGGUACUUCAGGUUUUGCCAUUGUGCAUAAGGCGAUAACCAGAUGGACAAGUACACUGGUAACUUCCCAGCGUGUUUCUGCAUUCAUGCUGACAGGUAUGUCUGGUUUCACAUUCAUCGAUGUCUGUGGAAAGAAAUGUGAACACGUACACAUCAGGAUUAUUUGAACCUGGUAUCAAACAGCGGUAUUUUUUCGCUUAUUUAUGUACAAGCAUAUGCACAGAGUUGGUGGAAGUUGUCUGGGUCUUCUUUUCUGAUGGGGUUGAACAUAUAAGACAAGCAAGUCCUUUCACACCUUACCUGUGCCAUUCCUUGUAACUUUUUAAUCAUUAAAGUCAGCUUUGAGGGGAUCCUCAUCUCUUUUGAUAGCAGCCAUAAUACAUACUCUACCUGAAGAGACCAGUUGUGAUACAGAGUUCUGGGGAGAAAGGGGGAUGUGCAAUCUGUAUACAUCAAUGAGGUUAUACAAAUACAGUCUUGCCCCAGAAAGCAAACUGUGGUGCCUGGUAAUAAUGUUUUAAACAAUAUGCUUAGGAAACACCCAGAUUAGUUAUCUCAACAGAGGAAGCCUUGACAGUGGGAGAGUUGUUCUUACAGUUAAUCCCUCCUCAGGCAAAGGUCUUUCCCUUCCAAACUGAUCUUCCCCAUGCCACAGGGAUGAAUUAAGCUCAGUAUCUGGGAACACUAUCAAUAAACGCUCCUAAAUUUUUUAUUUUUUUUUUUAAUCCCCCUCUCAGAUACAGAAGUACUAGACCACUGUAUGUAAAAUUUUCAAAGCAGAGUAGUGUGAUUUAGACACAGAUCAUAUAUAAUUAUAAUUUCUUUUGAAACAUCUGCCUCAUUCAGGACAGCAAUAGAGACCCUACUCAAGUUAAUCUCAGGCAAGAGGCAAGGCUUGCAUGAUUAAAACAGUGGAAGGAAGUUUCCUUCCCCUCUCUUUGUCUGAUUUACAGGGGUUGCAUUAGAUAAAAAUGCAAACACAGACGAGAAACAGAUGUGACUAGAAAUUUAUGGUAUGUUGUUAUCAAAUACUGACAGUUGUCUGUUGAAUGAACUUCCUUUUUAAAAAGCCUCACUUAGGUACAUUUUUCAUAUUAAACAGUAAUUUUUGAAAUUUAUAUGUUUAUUCCAAUGAAAUGGAAGUACAAGAAUAUUAACUAAUUCAAACUGGAAGCUGGAGUGAAGAGGGUAGAUUUUAGCUUAACCCUUUAGUUAAUAGUGGUAGCUGUAUUCCUAGGUCUUUUAAUUAAACUGCUAUACCUAUAAAAAACGUCAUGUUUACAACUACUGAAAUUUCUUUACAACGUAAAUACAAGGUUUAAUGUCUGCCUAUCUAUAAUUAAUAAAAUUAUACUUACAUUUUCCAACAUUAUAUAAUAUAUGUUGCUAUGUAAUUCUAGCAAUAAUUCUCAUUGCUAGAAUCUAGCUGUAGAUUACUAUUUAUCCUGGAAGGGUAUUGUGCCUCCUAGGAAGUGUCAUUGGCAUAUAUGCUAGGGUGAAGUACAUAGCUACAUACUAUACGUAUGUACAUAUGUACUAUAUAUUACUAUUAAUGUUAAUGUUAAAUGCCCUGGGACAAGCUCUAAUAAGGCCUAGCCUGUGGUACAGUUAGAUCUGAACUCAGCAGUAUUAUCACAAAAUAAAUGAACUGAUUUUUUUUUCUUAAAAAAAUCAAAAUGUGAGUUAAGUUGUCAAAGUCUGGCUUAAGAGAAGUGUAUUUCAAAAGAUGAAUUAAUUUUUUAUAACGCCCCCAAAAAAAACCGGGCAGAGCUUGUCAGUUACCACAGCUGCCCUGCUCUCCUCAUCAGAGAAAAAGAAAGGGCAGUGCAGUCAUCGUCACAACUUACGACAAAUCCCUUAUUUGUUUAUUUAUAAUCAGUCUCUCCACUCUCAGUGAAUCCCAUUACAACCCACUAUACAUCAUAAGUAUAGAUCACUUAAGAGCUCUGCUUAUAUCACCUGUAUGGCAGUGAUUAACCAUCCUGUAGCAGUGCUGGCAUUGGCCCUAGUAUGCUCAGUUCUAGAAUUUUUAUUCAAAACCUUUUGGAACCAAAGUACUACUACCACCAGUGGGAUUCUGAUAUAAGCAACAUCCCCAGGACUAGACUGGGUCUGAUAGUGUGUUUUGAAGUGUGAGAAAGUUCACAAAGGUGACCUACCAUAAUCAGAAGAAAGAGAAUAACAGAGGGAGAUAAUUUACAAACAACACAAUAAGCAGCAGAAUUUAAAAAAAGAGGUUAAAAAGGGGGAGGUUUGAAAACAUUUUUGCUGCAAUGUGCUCAGGAGACAAGAACAUGCAGAACUCUAAAUAGUUAUCAGGGUAAUUUGGAAAAAAACCACAGCACCACAGACCAUCAGCCCCUGGUAUAUAUUAAACAGUAACCUAAGAAUAAGGACCAAAACAAGACAAUUGCAUAGAUAUGACUGACAUUUACCUACACAUCUGUCAUUUCUUGCCUCAUAGCCUUCAGGACAAGUUUCUCUAAUGUUCCUUCUAGUCCUGGAGAAAGGUAUUCUGCUGUUUCUAUACUCUGAGAAGGAGCUGUAGAGAUUUGAGGAGUGCCUGUAAUACUGUUGAGGUUGAUAGUUGUCUCUCACAGGGGAGAAUUGAGCAUAGUUAUAACUAUUGUAAUAGGCACCAUAAUUUGGCAAUCUCUCCAAUCCAGCGCAAGAUUUCCCAUCACCUAAUAAAUGUUGUCCAGGUGGACAGAUACACUUGAAGCUGCCGGGGGUGUUGGUGCAUUGAAAUGCACAGGGCUUAGGCACUUGUUCACAUUCAUUAGUGUCUGCUCAUGUGACAUGAUCCAGAGCAACAAACCAUGUGGAAAGGAGAAAAAACAAACAAAAACAACAACACAUAACUAUAUGUAUAUAUAUACAUAUAUAUUUAUCUCAGUCCGUAGAACAAACUGAAGACAUAGAAGUGAGAUCUUGAACGCAGCAAAAUAUGGCAAACACAAUGCCAAGUAGGCAGGUUUCUCUAGCCUGAACAGUAAUAUAUCUUUAUCCUUCCUGUAAGGCUUCUUGUGACAUAAGACUGUGCUUACGUAGGACAAGAACUCUCCUGAAGAUUGUGCCUCAAGUGUUACUGAAGAUGAGUGGGAGAAGCUGUUGGACCCCUCUCUAAAGGAUAAUACUUAACACAGAACAUUCUUGAGAAGUACAGCAUUCAAACUGGCACAGAGGGAAGCUCAAAAAGGUCUGAUACCAUUAUCGUAUUAUGCAUCUGGGGAAAAAAUCAGGUUUUGAGGAUGUGUCACAAGGCUGCAGGGGAAGGAGAAAGCCCAGCUAAAAGCAGCAGCAGAAAAUACGUGAUACUAAUGUGACUGGACAGCUUACCCACACAAGGUCUUCCAGCUCCCUGGGACCGAUAUCCUCUUGGACACACACAACGGUAACUUCCUCGUGUGUUCUCACAAAUCUGGUUAUAGCGGCACUGGUGGGUUCCAUCCCGGCAUUCGUCAACAUCUGCAAGCAACAAG
This is a long non-coding RNA of Strigops habroptila (Kakapo), 4040 nucleotides long. RefSeq lists it as uncharacterized. The transcript has 7 exons. The record is from RefSeq and is a predicted model, not a curated record. Lineage: Eukaryota; Metazoa; Chordata; Aves; Psittaciformes; Psittacidae.